This 468-nucleotide ribosomal RNA is filed under the name uncultured bacterium. RNAcentral's name for it is "partial 16S ribosomal RNA". It matches the Rfam family "Bacterial small subunit ribosomal RNA", at positions 28 to 507 of the family's 1533-position model. The record is from RNAcentral.
GGCGAACGCUGGCGGCGUGCUUAACACAUGCAAGUCGAGCGGAAAGGCCCUGCUUUUGUGGGGUGCUCGAGUGGCGAACGGGUGAGUAACACGUGAGUAACCUGCCCUUGACUUUGGGAUAACUUCAGGAAACUGGGGCUAAUACCGGAUAGGAGCUCCUGCUGCAUGGUGGGGGUUGGAAAGUUUCGGCGGUUGGGGAUGGACUCGCGGCUUAUCAGCUUGUUGGUGGGGUAGUGGCUUACCAAGGCUUUGACGGGUAGCCGGCCUGAGAGGGUGACCGGCCACAUUGGGACUGAGAUACGGCCCAGACUCCUACGGGAGGCAGCAGUGGGGAAUAUUGCACAAUGGGCGGAAGCCUGAUGCAGCAACGCCGCGUGCGGGAUGACGGCCUUCGGGUUGUAAACCGCUUUCGCCUGUGACGAAGCGUGAGUGACGGUAAUGGGUAAAGAAGCACCGGCUAACUACGUG